UUUUUUUUUUUUUUUUAACUAGAAUUAGAUAAAACUCUAGAAUUAGAAUUAGAUACAAAUUACUAGAGUUAGAUAGAAAAAUCACCAAAAAUAUCCUGCUCCUAUAUCCUGGCCAUGAUACUAAGUGAUCCCAUUGUGCAUAUUGGAAAACAAACAUUAAAAGAGAAAAAUUUGGUUAUCUGUUAAAGUUAAAACUCUUUUUCCAAAUCAAACUACAUAUUAAAGGGACCAAGGAAGCUCACUAUUUGUAAUUAUGGUAAAAUAUUUUUGGCAGAGGGUUUGGUUUCAUAAUACAAGUACUUUUGUUUGCUAGUCAUCACACAGUCUGGCAAUUAGAAAAUUGGCUUGUGUCCAUGAGCUGCCUUUAUCAUCCCUAUAUCAAAAUCUAUGUUAAAGAAAUAGUUUUUGCAUACCAUUGACUAGUUAAAAAACUAAACAAACAAAAAACCCAGCAAUUUUGGUUAGUUCUCUAGCAUUUAGAUGCUAUGCUACAAAGAACAGUAUCAUCAAGGAUAUUAGAGUAAUGUAUUUUAGUAGGAGGUGAUAAGUUUUUAUUUUACUGAACUGUGAAAAUAGCAAACACAAUUGGGAUCAAGGAACUAUUCGCUUCGAAGGGCUUCCACAAAACCCUAGUGUUAAUAUUACAUAAUAUCAUUAUAUAGCAAUACAUGUUAAUAUUACAUAUAUCAUUAUUGUUCUAGAACUCAACCUUUCAGACAGGUAGGUAUUUUGUUUGAACCCCACAAAUGCUUUGAAGACAUCUAUUGUACAGUGCUAAGAACCUACGUUCUGAUAUCAGACAGCUCUAGGUUUGCAGUCUGCCACCUACUAGGCGUGUGACAUCCUGCAAGUCACACACCACUAGGACCAAAGUGCUAGUAAUGACAACAAUGAGACUAUCUCAUGUGUACUGAGUGGUUACUAUAUGUAGGCAGAGUUUUAUACUCAGUGCUUUAUAAUGUCUUUUUGUUUUAAGAUUUUAUUUAUUUAUUCAUGAGAGACACACAGAGGCAGAGACAUAGGCAGAGGGAGAAGCAGACUCCUCACAGGGAGUCCAGUGUGGAACUUGAUCCCAGAACCACAGAAUCACGACCUGAGACAAAGGCAGACACUUAACCACUGAGCCACCCAGGUGGCCCUGUAUAGUAUCUUAUAUUUAUUAUCUCAUUGGAUCCUCAUGUAAACCUUGUGAGGGGAGGUAAUAUCAUCAUUAUUUUAUGAAUGAGUAAAAGGAAGAACGUAAUUCUUCAAGUACACACAGCACAGGACCUGGGGCAAGAACCUGGUUAUUCUGUCUCCACGUUCCAAGGUUUAGCCACAUUCACCUGCCUCCCCAAGCCUCAGUUUCCCUGUCUGUAAGAUCAGAACAAUAAUAACUCCUGUAGUGUUGGCAGGAGGCUCUGAGAUCGUGGAAUAAGGCACAGGGUGGUGACUGCCUCUGAAGCUGGCACUUCAUUAUCACUGCCAGUAUUGUUGCUGUUAGCAAGGAUUGUAGUAUCAAUCAAUUUCUAACAGGAAGGAUUCACACAUCCACUCUUCUUUGCACACAUUUCUGUCUAAGUGAGCAGAGAAAAGCUCUACUCACUUAGAAAAAGCUUGUAGAAUUACUACAGUUUCAUCAGAGCCAAUGAACAGGGUCACUAAGGAGUCAAGCACCUGAUUUGUGACCAUUUGGAUGCCUGCCUAGAGGUAUAAACUCUCUAGUAACAUUCUCCUUUUGGUAAGCUAGCUUUCUCCUUCAUGAAUCUGGGCCAAAAAUCCACUGUGUCUUUAGCUUCUUCCCACAAAGAGGAGAUUUUCCUGCUAGCAGCAAUAGCUGCUAUUGUGGGAUUUUGCCCAGGAGAUUUUGUGAAGUUAUCUGACCCAAUAGCAUUAUAUAAAUUUUUAAGACUUGUAAAAUCAGGAAUCUCAGUGCAAGGCAGCCACAUCCAAAGCAAAAAUCUGUUCAACAGUCCCCACUUUAAUGGCUCUCCUGUAAACACUGACAACUACCAGAGAACAGCAUUACAAAAAGAUCAGUCACUACUUAAUUGUGUGAGUAAAGGCUGGGACAUGUGAACAUUAAUGAUACACAUUUUUGCUAUGGAGAUACUUUGAGGCCAGACACACAGAAUGCAACAGCUGCCAUCCAAAACCUCCCUGCACCAAGAGAUAUUUGUCUGGAAACUCUUGGCCUGGCCUGACAGCUUCUAGUCCUAGAGGACCAUGCUGAUUGCCACCCAAAUGUUUUCUCACCCCACAACACAUGGGGAGUCAGAGGAUGCACAGUCCGUAUUUGGGGCUCCUUUUGCUCUUGCCCCACAGCCAGGAUGGCUCAAAACCAUAGGUCAUAUGAAUGGUACUUGGCUAGUAUGUCACACAAUUAUUUAAAUACUACCAGGCUAAACUUCCCAUUUCUUUUUUUUUUUUUUAAGAUUUUAUUUAUUUAUUCAUGACAGAGAGAGAGAGAGAGAGGCAGAGACACAGGCAGAGGGAGAAGCAGGCUUCAUGUAGGAAGCCUGAUGUGGGACGCAAUCCUGGGUCUCCAGGAUCACACCACAGCCUGAAGGCAGCGCUAAACCCCUAAACUGCUGAGCCACUGGGGCUGCCCUAAACAUCCAUUUCUAAAGCAAUAUUUCUCAACAUGUGGAUCUAGGUCAGAAUGAUCCAGGGUGCUUAUUAGAAAUCCAGACUCCUAUGCAUGCCUCUCUAUUUUACUAUGUUACUGUUAGUAUGUAAGUCCUGAAGAAUAGAAGCUGGUCUGUUUACUCUGGUACCCCAGUACCCCCAACAGUGUGUGGCACACAGUAAGCACUCAAUACAUAUUUGUGGAAGGAAUUAAUUCCCGGGCCCCAUUAAUCUACCUCCUCAAUCAAAAUCUCUAAGAGUAGGACCAAGGAAUCUGCAUUUUAAAGGCACACAAGUGAUUUUUUUUGCACACAAAAUUUUUAGAACCAUUGUUCUAAAGUAAUUCAGCUAAUUCUAAGAUAGACAGAAAGAUGAAAAGUUUUGUCUCCAGAGGCGGCAUAUUAGCCAUCUGGCCAGUCAUUAAGGUAAAAUAACCAUAUUAAUAUCACCCAUGAGUUGAACUUCUGCCUUCAGGUCACAUUAUCUCCAACAAAUGUUGAUCUACCACCUUCAGCACACCAGAUUCUGGGUUCCUAAGUGGAUAAAAACAGAUACGUAGGCAGAGUGCCUAGGAAAGGCUGGAACCUGCCCCGUGAAGAACCACACCAUCGCUUUCUGCCUGAACUUGAUUAUUUGAUGAACCUGCCCCAAAACUCCGAUAGAGAAAUGGAACAGACUGUUCAUUACUGGUUCCCUGGCAUGCUUGAAUGGCACCUCUGAUCCAGGAAAGUCAGAUAUUAUCUGCAAGGAUUUAUCUUAUCUUGAAAGUCUCCAAUCUUUCUAAAUAGGUUUCCUAUCUGUUUGGCCCUUCUAGGAAGCUUGGUGUUUUACUUCUAGUUACAAUCAACCUUUUACCAACAUUUGAUCUUGGACUGUCACUUCACUUCUCUUGGCCUGCUUCCUCAUUUGAAAAAUGAGACAAUUAGACCAGAAACAGGUCUUCAGCACCUUCCAAUUAUAAUGUACCCUAAUCUGUGACUUCUUGGUGACACCUACUGCUCAUGCUUAACAAAACAUCCAGAUGUGAUUUGAUGAUCCAAUUGCAGCUGUCAAACUAGGAUACCCAAAACUAUCCAAUGGAGAGGUGGUUGGCACGUGGAAGAGUAGGUAAAAUUUGGGAUUUGCAAACCGUUUCUGAGAAUUACCUCUCAGUUUCCAUGUUUACCUAGAAAAAUACAAUGGCAACUUUAAUGUGCUGAAAACUUUAUGUAAGAGAUUAGUGCAAUACCCAAAUUUCUUCUGAAAGCUGUACAUUUUAUUUGUAUCAGCGCUGCAGCAACGCUGAAGCAUAGCUUGAUCUAGAGAGACGGAAAGAUCACUGCUUCGUGGGAUGCCCUCAAGCCAAGCUGUGAAGUAGGGGGAGAGAUAUAGGGAGUGAGCUCCUUUCCCUGACCCCAUCACUUUGCCUUUCCAUUCCCUCUGUCCUUCUUUCAGAAGCCCCAUCCCACAGAUGUUCCCCAGAGGUGGGUUGCUCUGAACUGGAAUCACACCCUAAGCACCAAAUGUAUGUUCACUGUCCUUUGUUCCAAUCCAGCCUGACUAAUCACUGGUAACUUGUCCAUUACUGUUGCCAGAUAAUUGCAUUUUAACUGCCUUUCUUUAGAAAACAGCUUCACAUAAAUUAGUGGUUCUUAAAGGCUUUGGGGCCUAAUGUCUACUUUAUAUUCCAACUAUUUUGCAGUGCUUCCUCUAUGAGCCUGAAAUGAAAAUCACAGAAAAUAUAACUUACUACUUACUAUAUAAUGCCCAAAUUAUUUUUAUAAAGUGAGUGUUAGGAAAGUAACUUAUAAUAAAAUACCAUAUUUCAGUAUGCAAAGCUUAGAAGAUGUACUGAAGUAGCCCAAUGCUCCCUCUAUGCCUAAAAUCACAGGGACAGCCAGGAAUGGAUUAUUGAACUAGCAACACACACUAAACCCCCUCCUUCAAGCAGCCCCCCCCCCACUGCUCCCUAAAUGCCAGUAGUGUCUCCCAGCCAUUUACUGUGACAACCUCCUACCCAUAAUUUAUUUUUCAAAAUUGCCCUUUAAAAACCUAGAUCGAUGACCCUGAUGUGAAAAGUUAAGUCAGUUUUGCAACCUCGAGAGAGCUAUUUUGGUGUGAAGAAUAUUUUACUGCCUCUGGCAGCAUGCAGCUACUUUGUCCUUUCCCCAUUUUUCCUCCAAUGUCUUGGAAGAUGAAUGUCAUAAUACAUAACAAUCUCAACAAUGAAAGUUAACAUUUAUGGAAUGCUUCCCACAUGCCAAGUGCUUUUAAAAUAAUUUUGCAUGUAUUAACUCUUUCAAACCUCAUAACUACAUAAGUAAUUUUAUUAUUACUAUGUUCCAGGGACAGUAAUAAUAGGCACAGAAAAAUCAAGUAACUUGACUAAGAUUACGCAUCUAGUUACAUUUAGCUUCUUGUAGAAACCAACUGCUUUGAUUAUUAUAAUAAUGGGCUUUUAUAAUGAGCAAAGCACUAUCUGUGUUUUUAUUUUAGGAAAGAAACAUUUCAGGGAUAAAAGGAUGUUUCUUUUUCCAAAGCCCAUGCAUCUAAAUGUUUGAAAUUUGCGCCCAUGUUUUCUUGGCUGGCUUUAUGCUUUUAGCACUUAGAAUGUGAUUAGGUAGCUUUUUUACUUAAUAUUUUCAUUCAUUUCAGAAUGGAUUUCUCUUCUUGGCAUGUCAUCUGUAUGUGAAAUUGCAGCGCCAUUCAUUCGGAGAUGAGGAACACAAAUCUUUUUCCUGCUCUUUCCUUUCAUUGCCAAGUGGCUUGUGCCAAAACAGGCUUGUUUUAAGCGAGUUUAGAGGAUGACCCAAGAAGCAGGUUCUGUGCACCAUGGUGGGAUAUGUGGCUGUUCUAACAGCACAGUGUGGUCAGGAGUCUCCUAAAUGUGUCAGAAAUUACAUCAUGCAUCAUUCAGGGAGGAACUGCAUUUCUUCCUGGAAACAGCCAAGGAGUUGUUAUGACAAAU
This 5554-nucleotide long non-coding RNA is filed under the name Canis lupus familiaris (dog). RNAcentral describes it as "lncRNA (ENSCAFG00000053009.1)". Lineage: Eukaryota; Metazoa; Chordata; Mammalia; Carnivora; Canidae. The record is from RNAcentral.